UGCCUUACACAUGCAAGUCGAACGGUAACAGGUUAAGCUGACGAGUGGCGAACGGGUGAGUAAUAUAUCGGAACGUGCCCAGUCGUGGGGGAUAACUGCUCGAAAGAGCAGCUAAUACCGCAUACGACCUGAGGGUGAAAGCGGGGGAUCGCAAGACCUCGCGCGAUUGGAGCGGCCGAUAUCAGAUUAGGUAGUUGGUGGGGUAAAGGCCCACCAAGCCAACGAUCUGUAGCUGGUCUGAGAGGACGACCAGCCACACUGGGACUGAGACACGGCCCAGACUCCUACGGGAGGCAGCAGUGGGGAAUUUUGGACAAUGGGCGCAAGCCUGAUCCAGCCAUGCCGCGUGCGGGAAGAAGGCCUUCGGGUUGUAAACCGCUUUUGUCAGGGAAGAAAAGGUUCUGGUUAAUACCUGGGACUCAUGACGGUACCUGAAGAAUAAGCACCGGCUAACUACGUGCCAGCAGCCGCGGUAAUACGUAGGGUGCAAGCGUUAAUCGGAAUUACUGGGCGUAAGGCGUGCGCAGGCGGUUAUGCAAGACAGAGGUGAAAUCCCCGGGCUCAACCUGGGAACUGCCUUUGUGACUGCAUGGCUAGAGUACGGUA
This 606-nucleotide ribosomal RNA is filed under the name uncultured Roseateles sp. Its description in RNAcentral is "bacterial SSU rRNA". It matches the Rfam family "Bacterial small subunit ribosomal RNA", at positions 45 to 653 of the family's 1533-position model. Lineage: Bacteria; Pseudomonadati; Pseudomonadota; Betaproteobacteria; Burkholderiales; Sphaerotilaceae. The record is from RNAcentral.